CACGGUGGCUGUGUUUCACUAACUCCCCGCUCCCUCAUACUGGCUCAUUGGGUCACUGGCUCUGUGGUUCUACCGAUUAAUUGAAAAGAGCCGGUUCGAAAGAACCUCCUCCUUCACGAAUCGGGCGUCGCUGCUGAGUAGCCCGGUAAUCCGCGUGGUUUCAAGUGGUUACGCGGCUGGAUUCGUGAGACUCAUAAGACACGAAACAAACCGAGUGACCGAUUCUGAUUCCUCCGAAAGUCUAUUCGAGAGUUAAAACAACCGGAUUAACUCAUGCACUGAAAGGAGAAAGAAUACUUUGAGACAGAUUCGCCUUCCAAAAAAUCCAACACAGAAACAAGACACACACACACAACUGCACGUGAGGCAGGAGACUGGCCAAAGGCUUGAGAGUCUGCAGUGGCCGAGUGGAGUUUCCGAGCAGGCAGGUGACAGACCAGGAAAGCUGGGAGAUGGAUCUGGUAGCUGGCCGGCCUGAGGACGACAGACGUGAGCGUUCACAGGGGGCCUCCUAUUAGCAGGCAGGAAGUGAGCCUUUCUCAGACAGAGCUUAAAGUGCUCUGGGCCUCUGGUCAGACAAAACCCACGGAAACGCUACAGCGUCCCGUUUCUGAAACAUUAUCAUACUAAUGAGCUGUCAUUAGGCGAUUGCAUUCCUUUGGAGAACAGAAGGAGGAGGAGGGGCUUUGUGCGUUUACAAUUCCUUUGGAAGAGGAGGCUGUUUUCUCUUGCCGGGGUGGGGUGUGACAGACAGGCACUGCAUCCUCUCAUCAGAUGUGGCGUGGGGGUGGGGUGGA
Non-coding RNA from Paramormyrops kingsleyae, 797 nucleotides. NCBI's taxonomy places the organism in Eukaryota, Metazoa, Chordata, Actinopteri, Osteoglossiformes, Mormyridae. The record is from RefSeq and is a predicted model, not a curated record.